CGGGAUGUAGCACAGUCCGGUUAGUGUACCUGGUUUGGGACCAGGGGGUCGCGAGUUCGAAUCCCGCCAUCCCGA
Molecule: transfer RNA, 75 nt
Filed under: Paludibacteraceae bacterium
Lineage: Bacteria; Pseudomonadati; Bacteroidota; Bacteroidia; Bacteroidales; Paludibacteraceae
Also listed under: 1 other name
Description: tRNA-Pro
Rfam family: tRNA
About the family: Transfer RNA (tRNA) molecules are approximately 80 nucleotides in length. Their secondary structure includes four short double-helical elements and three loops (D, anti-codon, and T loops).
Source: RNAcentral